GCAUUGGUGGUCCAGUGGUAGAAUUCUCACCUUCCAUGCAGGAGACCCAGGUAUGAUUCCUGGUCAAUGUA
This 71-nucleotide transfer RNA is filed under the name Loxodonta africana (African savanna elephant). It matches the Rfam family "tRNA". Rfam says of the family: Transfer RNA (tRNA) molecules are approximately 80 nucleotides in length. Their secondary structure includes four short double-helical elements and three loops (D, anti-codon, and T loops). Further hydrogen bonds mediate the characteristic L-shaped molecular structure. tRNAs have two regions of fundamental functional importance: the anti-codon, which is responsible for specific mRNA codon recognition, and the 3' end, to which the tRNAs corresponding amino acid is attached (by aminoacyl-tRNA synthetases). tRNAs cope with the degeneracy of the genetic code in two manners: having more than one tRNA (with a specific anti-codon) for a particular amino acid; and 'wobble' base-pairing, i.e. permitting non-standard base-pairing at the 3rd anti-codon position. Lineage: Eukaryota; Metazoa; Chordata; Mammalia; Proboscidea; Elephantidae. The record is from Rfam by way of RNAcentral.